UACGGAGGGUGCAAGCGUUAUCCGGAAUCACUGGGUUUAAAGGGUGCGUAGGCGGCUUUGUAAGUCAGGGGUGAAAGCCCGCAGCUUAACUGCGGAACUGCCUUUGAUACUGCAGAGAUUGAAAGAGGUUGAGGUCAGCGGAUCGUGACAUGUAGCGGUGAAAUGCAUAGAUAUGUCACAGAACACCAAUUGCGAAGGCAGCUGGCAGGGCCUACUUUGACGCUGAGGCACGAAAGCGUGGGGAUCGAACAGU
Molecule: ribosomal RNA, 253 nt
Filed under: uncultured bacterium
Lineage: Bacteria
Description: partial 16S ribosomal RNA
Rfam family: Bacterial small subunit ribosomal RNA
Source: RNAcentral